RNAcentral lists this ribosomal RNA (645 nucleotides) under Halargyreus johnsonii (slender codling). RNAcentral describes it as "partial 12S ribosomal RNA". It matches the Rfam family "Bacterial small subunit ribosomal RNA", at positions 547 to 1510 of the family's 1533-position model. Lineage: Eukaryota; Metazoa; Chordata; Actinopteri; Gadiformes; Moridae. The record is from RNAcentral.
CGGCGUAAAGCGUGGUUAUGUAAACUAAAUAAUAGGGCCGAACGGCCUCAAAGCAGUUAUACGCACUCGAAGUCACGAAGUACAAUUACGAAAGUAGCCCUACCAACCUCUGAUCCCACGAAAGCCAUAAAACAAACUGGGAUUAGAUACCCCACUAUGUAUGGCCGUUAACAUUGAUGACUUUGUACUAAGCCAUCCGCCUGGGGACUACGAGCAGUAGCUUAAAACCCAAAGGACUUGGCGGUGCUUUAGACCCCCCUAGAGGAGCCUGUUCUAGAACUGAUAACCCCCGUUCAACCUCACCAUCCCUUGUUUAACCCGCCUAUAUACCGCCGUCGUCAGCUUACCCUGUGAAGGUAAAAUAGUAAGCAUAAAUGGCAAAGCCAAAAACGUCAGGUCGAGGUGUAGUGAAUGAGAUGGGAAGAAAUGGGCUACAUUCUCUACCACAGAGAACACGAAUAGUGAUUUGAAAAAACCACCUGAAGGAGGAUUUAGUAGUAAGUAAGGAAUAGCGAGCCCUACUGAAAAUGGCCCUAAAGCGCGCACACACCGCCCGUCACUCUCUCCAAAUAAACCCUAAAAUUUACCUAAAACAUUUUAAUUAACCAAGGAGAGGCAAGUCGUAACAUGGUAAGCGUACCGGAA